GAUGAACGCUGGCGGCGUGCCUAAUACAUGUAAGUCGAGCGAACAGACGAGGAGCUUGCUCCUCUGACGUUAGCGGCGGACGGGUGAGUAACACGUGGAUAACCUACCUAUAAGACUGGGAUAACUUCGGGAAACCGGAGCUAAUACCGGAUAAUAUAUUGAACCGCAUGGUUCAAUAGUGAAAGACGGUUUUGCUGUCACUUAUAGAUGGAUCCGCGCCGCAUUAGCUAGUUGGUAAGGUAACGGCUUACCAAGGCAACGAUGCGUAGCCGACCUGAGAGGGUGAUCGGCCACACGGGAACUGGGACCCGGUCCAGACUCCUACGGGAGGCAGCAGUAGGGAAUCUUCCGCAAUGGGCGAAAGCCUGACGGAGCAACGCCGCGUGAGUGAUGAAGGUCUUCGGAUCGUAAAACUCUGUUAUUAGGGAAGAACAAAUGUGUAAGUAACUAUGCACGUCUUGACGGUACCUAAUCAGAAAGCCACGGCUAACUACGUG
RNAcentral lists this ribosomal RNA (497 nucleotides) under uncultured bacterium. RNAcentral describes it as "partial 16S ribosomal RNA". It matches the Rfam family "Bacterial small subunit ribosomal RNA", at positions 28 to 507 of the family's 1533-position model. The record is from RNAcentral.